RNAcentral lists this transfer RNA (85 nucleotides) under Betaproteobacteria bacterium RBG_16_58_11. Its description in RNAcentral is "tRNA-Leu". It matches the Rfam family "tRNA". From Rfam's summary of the family: Transfer RNA (tRNA) molecules are approximately 80 nucleotides in length. RNAcentral also lists the same sequence under 4 other names. Lineage: Bacteria; Pseudomonadati; Pseudomonadota; Betaproteobacteria. The record is from RNAcentral.
GCCGACGUGGUGGAAUUGGUAGACACGCCGUCUUGAGGGGGCGGUGGCGCAAGCCGUGCGAGUUCGAGUCUCGCCGUCGGCACCA